RNAcentral lists this unclassified non-coding RNA (321 nucleotides) under Hevea brasiliensis (rubber tree). The record is from RNAcentral. Lineage: Eukaryota; Viridiplantae; Streptophyta; Magnoliopsida; Malpighiales; Euphorbiaceae.
GCUACUGCCAGUUUCCAAUAGGUAACGAACCAUUGCAUCCACAUCAUCGCCAAAUAUGCUGUACGCCUCGAUCACUCGCCGAUAGCGGAAUCCCAUUGACAGAACCAUCUGCACACUACUGCUCAGAACAGUGUCCUGCAAACUCUGUUCUCUCACCUUGGUCUCACUGCCUGACGAUCUAGCUCCAGAUGAUGAUGGUUCAGCACCAGACGUAGAAGAUUCUUUGUAGCCAAGUUGCUGCUUCAAUUUGUCACUGGCAAGAUACUCUGCUCGAGAGGCCUCCAUCACCAUACGUUCAAUCUCCUUCUCAGUAAGCUCAAG